GACAAGCCAAGCAAGGGCGUAUGGGGAAUGCCUAGGCUCUCAGAGACGAUGAAGGACGCGACAAGCUGCGAAAAGCUACGGGGAGAGGCACAUACUUUUUGAUCCGUAGAUAUCCGAAUGGGGCAACCCAGCAUACUGAAGGUAUGUUAUCCGUAAGGAAGUUAACCCGCUGAACUGAAACAUCUAAGUAGGCGGAGGAAGAGAAAACAAGAGUGAUUCUGCGAGUAGCGGCGAGCGAAAGUGGAACAGCCCAAACCGAAAGUGUUACGGCACUUUCGGGGUUGUAGGACCACGACAUCUGAUGCAUAACGAACCAGAACCAGCC
Molecule: ribosomal RNA, 325 nt
Filed under: uncultured Flavobacteriaceae bacterium
Lineage: Bacteria; Pseudomonadati; Bacteroidota; Flavobacteriia; Flavobacteriales; Flavobacteriaceae
Description: bacterial LSU rRNA
Rfam family: Bacterial large subunit ribosomal RNA
Source: RNAcentral